GGGAUUUUGAGGGUAUUUGAGAGCAAACUUUGAGCAACUUCCACUAGAUCUGCGGCAGGUAGAGAUGAGAUUUGAUUGAGAAGAGAGCUGCUUGUGUUUAGAGAGUUGUUGGAUGCAGAUCCAUCCAUUAUCCCAGCCAGUUGGUUCAU
Molecule: non-coding RNA, 149 nt
Organism: Caenorhabditis elegans
Lineage: Eukaryota; Metazoa; Nematoda; Chromadorea; Rhabditida; Rhabditidae
Source: Ensembl